UAUUCUCAAUUCUUUUUUUUUUUUUAUUAAUAAUCCAAUUAUUCUCUAUGAUUCUUUAUUCUAUAUUUCUGCCUUUUUUACUAUCUGUUCUUUAUUUUGCACUUUUUGUCAUUAUUUUCUAUUCUUAAACUCCCAUCUUGAUUCCAGACCCUCAAAUAUACGUAAAUGUACGAAAGCUUGCAUGAGCCCCCUUGCAUGGUACGUCGAACACGAAAACCCGGAAAUCUUUUCACCGUUACCGUUUUUUAUACUAUGACGCAAAAUCCAUGGACGCUCACGCGAUCAUCUGUUGCUGUCUUUUUAUAAGUUUUUAAGAAUGGACAGAGAUAGAUGAUACAAGGAACUUUGGUUUUUCAAACUGGUGAAUCAAAAAUUUAUUAUAAACAGUUAAAUUGAAAUGGGUGACUUGUCGAUUAACUGGAAGAAACCGGGGAACGAAACAUAGAAAAUCAACGCAACAAAAGUCAAAGUGUUUUUGUUUUGAUGGAUAAUUUUACGUACCCUAAAAGCGGAACGAAAGCAUUUUCAAUAAAAGUACAUUUUGUACAUGUACUUCAACAGAACAGAAUUCAUUUGAGGCCUUGCUUUCUAGAUUAUAUAAUGGAUUCAUAGAUUGUCAUAUUGAUUUAUGUGCAUAAAAGGAGCAGUAGUCAAUGAAUAAUUUUAUGAUGAAAGCUUAUUACCAUGGUUACCAAAUGAAAGGAAAGUGCAGUAUUAGAAUCACUGGUGUACAUGUAGAUGCGGAUGUCCGGCAAAAAGAACUGGUAUCAAAAUACUAAAAGUAAAGGUGAACUACUUUAUGUUUAUGGAAUGAUUGUAAGGUAUUUAUAUUUGUCUUGCAGGUACAAUUCUUGCCAGAUUUUUUAAAACUUAUUCUAUAGGUUAAUAUCAGCAUAAUCCUAGUCAAGCUUUAUAAAUUUGGCCGAUCAACUUUUUUCAAAAGAGUUAUGCCCCUUGGAAAUAAUAAAUUUAUGGAAAAUGGCCUCGUAAAUGCUCUCAUUUUUUGUCGAGCCUUCGACUUUUGUCGAAAAAGCGAGACAUAGCGAUCCUACAUUCCGUCGGCGUCGGUGUCGGCGGCGUCCAAAAAUAUUCACUCUGUGGUUAAAGUUUUUGAAAUUUUAAUAACUUUCUUAAACUAUCCUGGAUUUCUACCAAACUUGGACAGAAGCUUGUUUAUGAUCAUAAGAUAGUAUCCAGAAGUAAAUUGUGUAAAAAAAAAUCUUGUUUUUCCGUAUUUUACUUAUAAAUGGACUUAGUUUUUCUGCCAGGAAACAUUACAUUCACUCUGUGGUUAAAGUUUUUAAAAUUUUAAUAACUUUCUCAAACUAUCCUGGAUUUGUACCAGACUUGGCCAGAUGCUUGUUUAUGAUCAUAAGAUAGUAUCCAGAAGUUAAUUUUAUUAAACAAAAAUCCUGUUUUUCCGUAUUUUACUUAUAAAUGGACUUAGUUUUUCUGCCAGGAAACAUUACAUUCACUCUGUGGUUAAAGUUUUUAAAAUUUUAAUAACUUUCUUAAACUAUCCUGGAUUUCUACCAAACUUGGCCAGAUGCUUGUUUAUGAUCAUAAGAUAGUAUCCAGAAGUAAAUUUAAAAAAAAAAAUCCUGUUAAUCCGUAUUUUACUUAUAAAUGGACUUAGUUUUUCUGCCAGGAAACAUUACAUUCACUCU
Mytilus californianus (California mussel) is the source of this 1667-nucleotide long non-coding RNA. RefSeq lists it as uncharacterized. The record is from RefSeq and is a predicted model, not a curated record. The transcript is spliced from 4 exons. Lineage: Eukaryota; Metazoa; Mollusca; Bivalvia; Mytilida; Mytilidae.